This is a long non-coding RNA of Nerophis lumbriciformis (worm pipefish), 666 nucleotides long. RefSeq lists it as uncharacterized. The record is from RefSeq and is a predicted model, not a curated record. Lineage: Eukaryota; Metazoa; Chordata; Actinopteri; Syngnathiformes; Syngnathidae.
GAUGCUUAUGAGACUUGAACUAAAGAUGGACCUUACCAGUGCACUACUGCUGGAGUCGCUCUGUGACUGCACAUUUUGCUGAUCUGAGUUACUGCUGAGCGACGACUAAAGUGGAAAGAAGGAGAACUGUUGACUUACAUCUGUGCUGAUGGUGGAGUCUCGCUCGACAGGCCUCCUCUCGACGCUGGCGCCUGACGAACAUCUAGCGAGGGCCUCGGCGUGUUUCUCUCGCUCCCUUUGGAGCACGAUGUCCUCACAACCUUGCCACUCCUUCAUGUUCUGCUCGUACAAGGCGCGCAUCUGCUGAGCUGUCGUGGAGGAACUUGGCCCAGACGUCCGCAGAGAGGCCUCCUUGGGCAUCCGAAGGCACAUCGGGGACGACGAUAGUGGUGUUGACCAGAGCCGAGAGUUCCAGGUCCUAAGUGGCGGUCAAAGUGUCCCAUCUUGUCGGACUAUAUCACCAGCCACCUUCUGUCCAGGAAAGAGGAUCCGGAACACAUAAUCGGUGGCUUCCUCAUCCUCUUUAUCAGACACCGAGUCACAUGACCCAUGUGGGCUCCUCCUACGCAGUUUGGGGAAAACCUUUCCCUGUGCAGGAAAGACAAAAACACACUCUUGAUACACAAGGUCAAAUCGGAAAUGUCCUGCAUUUAUGCUGACCUUCCC